Miniopterus natalensis is the source of this 73-nucleotide non-coding RNA. The record is from the annotation of a RefSeq genome assembly. Lineage: Eukaryota; Metazoa; Chordata; Mammalia; Chiroptera; Miniopteridae.
GGGGGCACAGUUCAGUGGUUAGAGCACUUGAUUGCAGAUCAAGAGGUCUCCAGUUCAAAUCUAGGUGCCCUCU